UACAGAGGGGGCGAGCGUUGUUCGGAAUUACUGGGCGUAAAGGGCGCGUAGGCGGCCAACUAAGUCAGACGUGAAAUCCCUCGGCUUAACCGGGGAACUGCGUCUGAUACUGGAUGGCUUGAGUUUGGGAGAGGGAUGCGGAAUUCCAGGUGUAGCGGUGAAAUGCGUAGAUAUCUGGAGGAACACCGGUGGCGAAGGCGGCAUCCUGGACCAACACUGACACUGAGGAGCGAAAGCCAGGGGAGCAAACGGG
RNAcentral lists this ribosomal RNA (253 nucleotides) under uncultured bacterium. RNAcentral describes it as "partial 16S ribosomal RNA". It matches the Rfam family "Bacterial small subunit ribosomal RNA", at positions 524 to 776 of the family's 1533-position model. The record is from RNAcentral.